RNAcentral lists this ribosomal RNA (317 nucleotides) under uncultured soil bacterium. RNAcentral's name for it is "bacterial SSU rRNA". It matches the Rfam family "Bacterial small subunit ribosomal RNA", at positions 26 to 370 of the family's 1533-position model. The record is from RNAcentral.
AGAACGAACGCUGGCGGCAUGCCUAAUACAUGCAAGUCGAACGAACACUUCGGUGUUAGUGGCGCACGGGUGCGUAACGCGUGGGAAUCUGCCCUUGGGUUCGGAAUAACAGUUGGAAACGACUGCUAAUACCGGAUGAUAUCGAAAGAUCAAAGAUUUAUCGCCCAGGGAUGAGCCCGCGUAGGAUUAGCUAGUUGGUGAGGUAAAGGCUCACCAAGGCGACGAUCCUUAGCUGGUCUGAGAGGAUGAUCAGCCACACUGGGACUGAGACACGGCCCAGACUCCGUACGGGAGGCAGCAGUAGGGAAUAGUUGGAC